Molecule: ribosomal RNA, 255 nt
Filed under: uncultured bacterium
Lineage: Bacteria
Description: partial 16S ribosomal RNA
Rfam family: Bacterial small subunit ribosomal RNA
Source: RNAcentral
CGUGAGGUGUCGGGUUAAGUCCCAUAACGAGCGCAACCCCCAUCUCUAGUUGCCAGCGGGUAAUGCCGGGGACUCUAGAGAAACUGCCCGUGUAAACGGUGAGGAAGGUGGGGACGACGUCAAGUCAUCACGGCCCUUACGUCCUGGGCUACACACGUGCUACAAUGGCGAGGAACAAAGGGAAGCUACCGCGCGAGCGGAUGCCGAUCUCCAAAACUCGUCUCAGUUCGGAUCGGAGUCUGCAACCCGACUCCG